This is a long non-coding RNA of Bombina bombina (fire-bellied toad), 259 nucleotides long. RefSeq lists it as uncharacterized. The transcript has 3 exons. NCBI's taxonomy places the organism in Eukaryota, Metazoa, Chordata, Amphibia, Anura, Bombinatoridae. The record is from RefSeq and is a predicted model, not a curated record.
GGAGGAUGAUCCUGUUCUAGAGGGGGAAUUCCAGGACGAGGGACUUGAUGUCAGAGCAGACGUCAUCAACCGCCACUUUAGACGGUGAUGCUCUGGGCAUUGGGUCCUAUAGCGAGUCUUUGCCACCUGGUUUUUAUAGAGGACAUCAGAUGGGAGAUGACUUAAUAUAAAGACUGAAAGGGAACAAUUUGAAGCCUGACAGUGAAGAUUUCCAAGACUGACAGUGGGGAAAAAGCCAAGAUUGAAAUUGAAGUAUACC